UGCCAGAAAGCGCUUUCAUGAGCGGAGCCAC
This 31-nucleotide non-coding RNA is filed under the name Rattus norvegicus (Norway rat). The record is from RNAcentral. Lineage: Eukaryota; Metazoa; Chordata; Mammalia; Rodentia; Muridae.